UGCACUAUCUCUGGGCCUAAUAAUUUCUCUCGCCCACAUCAUCCCAACAAAAUAGGAGAUCCAUGUUAAAAUAUUCCAAAUCUAAGACCAAUCAAGGAAUCACCAACCGUUAACGCUAAAUUUAAGAUGCCCAAGGUUCUCCCAAAAAUUGUCAACAAUAGAAGAACCCACUGGUGAAAAUUACAUAGCUACCUCUAGAUCAUCCAUAGAAUCAAUAACAUUCUCCUCUGC
Molecule: long non-coding RNA, 231 nt
Filed under: Phoenix dactylifera (date palm)
Lineage: Eukaryota; Viridiplantae; Streptophyta; Magnoliopsida; Arecales; Arecaceae
Description: long non-coding RNA (PDAC_LNC001055)
Source: RNAcentral